RNAcentral lists this transfer RNA (102 nucleotides) under Ferrimonas lipolytica. RNAcentral's name for it is "Ferrimonas sp. S7 tRNA-OTHER". Lineage: Bacteria; Pseudomonadati; Pseudomonadota; Gammaproteobacteria; Alteromonadales; Ferrimonadaceae. The record is from RNAcentral.
CCCGAGGUGGCAAUUCAGCCUGAGAGCCCAGACGCGACAUCCAUGGAUUCAAAAUCCACCGGUGGUGACACCUUGAGGGUUCAAGUCCCUCUCUCGGUACCA